Daphnia pulex (common water flea) is the source of this 1394-nucleotide long non-coding RNA. RefSeq lists it as uncharacterized. The transcript is spliced from 8 exons. NCBI's taxonomy places the organism in Eukaryota, Metazoa, Arthropoda, Branchiopoda, Diplostraca, Daphniidae. The record is from RefSeq and is a predicted model, not a curated record.
UUCGCGCCAUUGUCGUUCUUGUCGUCUCGAUUAUUUUGGCGGAAAUGUUAGUCUUUCAUGGUGCCUCGUGUGUGAUAAUACUCGUUUGCUAUUCUUUUCUCGUGAAAAAUUCAAGUAAGGCCAUGUCACCAAGUUGCAACAAAAAUCUUCAAGGUUUCCUUUGCUGAUAUUUUUUUAAAAAAGAUGGAGAAUAAAUAGGACUUGCUGCCCAGACUACUACACAUUGUGGAACUGCAAGUUCAUCUGUUUCGUCUAGUGUUAUGAUGGAAAUGUUCGACCGACCUUGGCGAAUUCUGGUGAAACGACAUUGGCGAUCCCUAACAUUAAAAUUCGCAGACUGAAAGCAAAGUUGGCACGCCAUUUGCAAAGCUGAACGAUUUCUUCUAUUGUCGUGGAUGCCAGUAGAUAAUCUUGGCGUAUCGAUCAAGGGAAUAUAUAUUUGUUGCUUCUCAUUCGCUGUGCAGAGCAAAUUGCCAAAAAUACGUUUCUGUGGUUUAUGGGUUUAUGGCUCUCCUUGGCAACAUUUGCAGUGCAGUGGACUCGAGCAUUUCCUAUACACCCGUCUUGUUUUUAUAUGCUGGCUGGUGCUGUUUCAUUGGGUCCACCCACAAUCAUUGCAGCUGCAGAUAUCGCCUCGUACUUAUUCCAUCCAUCCAAGUAAUUCCAAGUUUUCCCUGAAUCUUGUGUGGUUGCUUAAUUCUUAUAUUGAUGGCUAGAUGGCGAUGCCGCUUGCUUCCUCUGUUUACCGAUUAAGCUGGUUUUUUAAAAUCGUUUAACUCGAGGCGCACAUUUGGGUUGGAAAACAUCACGAGUGAAUUUUCAUUAUUAUCCCUGUAUAACGAAGGAAUUAUGGUGUCAAUCUCCCAGUUUGUGGAUGGAUGUAGGAGAAUUUGUCCGCAGGGAUUCCAUCCAGUCACGGAGAAAAUUGAGACACUUUUUCAGGGUCUCUUCCCCUCCGCAGUAUGGGUGCCAUUUGCCUUCCCAAAGCGAAUCCGCUUCAUUGAUUGACACCGCCUUUAUCACCCUGGAGAGGGCAGUUGAUGACGAUGAUCCUUUCGCUGACUUUCACUCUGGCACUGGCUGAAAUUCGGAUCGUCACUUCAAAGAGACUGGAAUUUCCUCCUACAAAGUAGUUACGAGGUGGUGGCCGAAUGUCUAUGUGGUGUGCGCUGCAUGAAUGCACGAAUCCCUGGUGAACUCUGCGUCCAGUAGCUCCAGCUGGACCUCGUCGUAAAAGUGACGCUGGUGAUCUGUUCCGGAAGAAGACUUCGUAGUGGAACCAACUGGAGAAUAAUCUGACAAUCAUCAAUAAAAAUGAGCUACCCUACAAAACGGAGUUAUUUUCAUAUUUUAAAAAUUUUAUAAUACAAAAAUGAUAACAGUUGACCCACGAC